CCUACGGGCGGCAGCAGUGAGGAAUAUUGGUCAAUGGACGUGAGCCUGAACCAGCCAAGUCGCGUGAGGGAUGAAGGUUCUAUGGAUCGUAAACCUCUUUUAUAUGGGAAUAAAGUGUGGGACGUGUCGUAUUUUGUAUGUACCUUAUGAAUAAGGAUCGGCUAACUCCGUGCCAGCAGCCGCGGUAAUACGGAGGAUCCGAGCGUUAUCCGGAUUUAUUGGGUUUAAAGGGUGCGUAGGCGGCUUUUUAAGUCAGUGGUGAAAGUUUGUGGCUCAACCGUAGAAUUGCCGUUGAAACUGGGGGGCUUGAGUACGUUAGAGGUAGGCGGAAUGCGUGGUGUAGCGGUGAAAUGCUUAGAUAUCACGCAGAACUCCGAUUGCGAAGGCAGCCUGCCAAGCCAUGACUGACGCUGAUGCACGAAAGUGUGGGUAUCAAACAGGAUUAGAUACCCCUGUAGUC
Molecule: ribosomal RNA, 460 nt
Filed under: uncultured bacterium
Lineage: Bacteria
Description: partial 16S ribosomal RNA
Rfam family: Bacterial small subunit ribosomal RNA
Source: RNAcentral